UUCGGACUGCAGCCUGCAACCCGGCUGCACGAAGCCGGAAUCGCUAGUAAUCGCAGAUCAGCAUGCUGCGGUGAAAUACGUUCCCGGGCCUUGUACACACCGCCCGUCACACCAUGGGAGCCGGUAAUACCCGAAGUCAGUAGUCCAACCUCGUGAGGACGCUGCCGAAGGUAGGAUUGGCGACUGGGGUGAAGUCGUAACAAGGUAUC
RNAcentral lists this ribosomal RNA (209 nucleotides) under uncultured bacterium. Its description in RNAcentral is "partial 16S ribosomal RNA". It matches the Rfam family "Bacterial small subunit ribosomal RNA", at positions 1292 to 1500 of the family's 1533-position model. The record is from RNAcentral.